Molecule: long non-coding RNA, 1724 nt
Organism: Pseudophryne corroboree (corroboree frog)
Lineage: Eukaryota; Metazoa; Chordata; Amphibia; Anura; Myobatrachidae
Exons: 9
Source: RefSeq, a predicted model, not a curated record
CUGACCACUCAUCUCCUACUUUCUCUGUGGGGUGAACUUUCCAAAGACGACCACUGUAUUAAGACUCCGUCACCUGGCAAUGGCAACGACCACCAUCAAAAGACUUCGUCUCCAGGGAAUCAAAGACUCAAUGUGCUCAUAAGGUUUUGAAACUCCUUACGUAGAAUUGUGGAAAAUCCAGACUUAACAAAUUGACCCCUCAUCUCCUACUUCCUCUGCGGGAUGAACCUUCCAAAGACCACCACCUUGUUAGGAUUCAGUCACCUGGGAAUGGCAAUGACCACCAUCAAAAGACUUCGUCACCAGGGAAUCACAGACUCAAUGUGCUCCAUCCACAGUGCCAACAUAACAGCCUGACCACUCAUCUCCUACUUCCUCUGCGGGGUGAACUUUCCAAAGACGACCACUGUAUUAAGACUCCGUCACCUGGCAAUGGCAACGACCACCAUCAAAAGACUUCGUCUCCAGGGAAUCAAAGACUCAAUGUGCUCAUAAGGUUUUGAAACUCCUUACGUAGAAUUGUGGAAAAUCCAGACUUAACAAAUUGACCCCUCAUCUCCUACUUCCUCUGCGGGAUGAACCUUCCAAAGACCACCACCUUGUUAGGAUUCAGUCACCUGGGAAUGGCAAUGACCACCAUCAAAAGACUUCGUCACCAGGGAAUCACAGACUCAAUGUGCUCCAUCCACAGUGCCAACAUAACAGCCUGACCACUCAUCUCCUACUUCCUCUGUGGGGUGAACUUUCCAAAGACGACCACUGUAUUAAGACUCCGUCACCUGGCAAUGGCAACGACCACCAUCAAAAGACUUCGUCUCCAGGGAAUCAAAGACUCAAUGUGCUCAUAAGGUUUUGAAACUCCUUACGUAGAAUUGUGGAAAAUCCAGACUUAACAAAUUGACCCCUCAUCUCCUACUUCCUCUGCGGGAUGAACCUUCCAAAGACCACCACCUUGUUAGGAUUCAGUCACCUGGGAAUGGCAAUGACCACCAUCAAAAGACUUCGUCACCAGGGAAUCACAGACUCAAUGUGCUCCAUCCACAGUGCCAACAUAACAGCCUGACCACUCAUCUCCUACUUCCUCUGUGGGGUGAACUUUCCAAAGACGACCACUGUAUUAAGACUCCGUCACCUGGCAAUGGCAACGACCACCAUCAAAAGACUUCGUCUCCAGGGAAUCAAAGACUCAAUGUGCUCAUAAGGUUUUGAAACUCCUUACGUAGAAUUGUGGAAAAUCCAGACUUAACAAAUUGACCCCUCAUCUCCUACUUCCUCUGCGGGAUGAACCUUCCAAAGACCACCACCUUGUUAGGAUUCAGUCACCUGGGAAUGGCAAUGACCACCAUCAAAAGACUUCGUCACCAGGGAAUCACAGACUCAAUGUGCUCCAUCCACAGUGCCAACAUAACAGCCUGACCACUCAUCCCCUACUUCCUCUGCGGGGUGAACUUUCCAAAGACGACCACUGUAUUAAGACUCCAUCACCUGGCAAUGGCAACGACCACCAUCAAAAGAUUUUGUCAACUGGCAAUGGCAACGACCACCAUAAGAGGACUCUGUCACCUGGUAAUUAGACUAAUUGUGAUUUGCAUUAAACCUUUAUUUUAUAUCAUUACAUUAAAAAUACACUAACACCAGAAUGUGACCUAUUAAAAGUUCAUAAGAUCCUGUUUAGCACAGGAUCAAAUGUACUGAUGAGAAAAAUGUUCUAGUAACGCUGCAAU